Long non-coding RNA from Anthonomus grandis grandis, 1786 nucleotides. RefSeq lists it as uncharacterized. The transcript is spliced from 3 exons. NCBI's taxonomy places the organism in Eukaryota, Metazoa, Arthropoda, Insecta, Coleoptera, Curculionidae. The record is from RefSeq and is a predicted model, not a curated record.
UGACUGACUAAAAGUACCAUCAAAUAAAGUCAAUUAACAGUAUAGUUGUAGUGGUAUGGAAUAGGUAACUCUUCAAAGAAUACCUUGAUUGGCAGGGAUAGUUGCACCAACGGCCCAUUAAUAUAAUAGGAAUUAAGUAAUAAUGCCAUUAAAUGUAAAGACCAUUUAUUAUUACAACAGUUACUCACUCUGCUUCCAUACUCUCUUCAGCGAAGGGUUCAAGAACAUAUUAUUUGGGAUUGGCUUAUCUGUAUUUAUCUUUUGGUUCCAAUAAGUACAACAAUCUUCACUUUCUUGGACUGGUGUUGGUUCGUAAGAGUAGUAUGGGCCUUUAUUUAGAUGCAAGGUAUAUAGUUUUGAGUGUUCAUGCCUAGGGAUAGCAACGAUACAUCGAUGCUUUGAAAACAUCGAUACAUCGAGAGAAAAUACAUCGAUGUUUGCAUAGAUGAUGUAUCGAUAUAUCGUUCAAAUAUAUCGAUACAGUUCAAAUAUAUGCAGGUUUUAAAAAAUUUAUUAAAGAAUUAGCUCCCUUAUAUAAAACGCCUUGCAGAAAUACGAUAAAAUCAAGGAUAAUCCGAAAGUAUGAGGCAAUUUCCACUGUUUAUAAGGAAAACUUGGCGAAAAUUGAUAAUUUAGUUUUAAUUACGGAUAUUUGGACCAAGACGAUGCAGAUGAAAAGUUUUCUGGGCAUAACUGUUCAUUUUUUGAAAGUCAUAAAUAUGACGUCUAGUUCAUUGGAUGUCAUUGAGCUAUCGGAAUCCCAUACCGCUGAUUAUAUUAGUGACAUAUUAAAUAAGGUUUUACAAGACUGGAUUAUAAAAAAUUACUCGAUCACAGCUAUAGUCACUGACAAUGAUGCCAAAAUGUUGAAGGCAAUUGGAAAUUUUUGGCAUGAACAGGCACUUAAGUUGUUUUACUCACACAUUGAAUUUGAGUGUAGAAAAUGCAUUGCAACGCUCGGGACUUGAUGGUUUAUUAUUAAAGGGGCGAAAUAUUGUAAAAUUUGUUAAAGCAAGUAUAAACGCAUCGGAUAGCCUUAGAAAAGAGCAGUAAAGACAAGAUGUUGUAGAAGGCAAAAUUAGAAAAGUUCUUUUAAAUGUUUCGACCAGAUGGAACUCUAAAUUUUACAUGUGUGAAAGAUUUCUAGAGCUAUUACCACUCCUUUGUAAUAUUUUAUUGGAAAGACCCAAUUCUCCACCUAUGUUGUCAGCAAAUGAGGUAGAACUCCUAAAAGAAGCAGUUCAACUUCUUCAGAUAAUGGAAAGGUUGACAGUAAUUAACUGCACUAUAAAAAACUUAUCGUCUAUGAAUCUAACUCUUCUUUUAACCAUUUCGUUAAAGGGGAAUUAGAAAAAGAAAUCGAGAAGCGUUUUGGAAAUCGAGAAUACUCAAAUUUACUAUCCCUUGGAGCAUUUUUAGGUCCAAGGUUUAAAAACGUCCAUUUUAAUAACCAAUACAAAAAGUAAGUAAAAUGGUUCACGAGUUCGAAAAUCAGACUGCAUCAAUGGCUGCAAAUAAUGAAAUCCAAAUAACAUCCACCUUUGAAAACUCAGAGGAGUGUAAUAAAGUUGAUAUUUGGAGUUUUCAUAAGACUUACGCAAAAAGAACAAGUUAAUAGGAUAAGAGACUUAAAGGGUGGUAGCAUCAGUAGUUCAGAUUUAAGUCCAGAAGUUCGUUUAUAUAUUUCUGCACCACUUGCAGGAUAUCCAAACUUAUAUAAAGUAGCUAGAAAAUAUCUAGGAGUUGUAUGUACUUCUGUACCCUCUGAACGGUUAUUUUCUUUAGC